Molecule: non-coding RNA, 99 nt
Filed under: Streptomyces ipomoeae
Lineage: Bacteria; Bacillati; Actinomycetota; Actinomycetes; Kitasatosporales; Streptomycetaceae
Also listed under: 1 other name
Description: Glycine sequence
Rfam family: Glycine riboswitch aptamer
About the family: This family represents the bacterial glycine riboswitch. Glycine riboswitches usually consist of two metabolite-binding aptamers domains with similar structures in tandem.
Source: RNAcentral
UGAAUCCGCGCGGGAGAGCCCUCGGCAGUCGUUCGCCGGGGCGCCGAAGGAGCAAGUCCCUCCCUUGAAUCUCUCAGGCCCAGAUACCGCGCGGGCGAG